UGACUUGUCUCCAUUCUCCGCGUCUCCUCUCUCUCUUUUAAUCCCCACUCCCUCCCUAGGGUCUCUGUUGCUCGUCCGGCGGGUCGGGACAGCGCAGAAGUUAAAUCAUGUUGCUGUAGGUGUGUGCAUUUAAUUGGCAGAUUUAUCCUUCAAUAUAUGAAAAGAUCUGCUUUCGACGAUUUCACAUUGAGUACUGUUUCACUUUGAGAGCAAGUUUCUAAAAUGGUAGGUGUGACAUUGAGACACUGUAGGAGCUGACUGAGGACAAAGACUGUACAACAUAGAAUUUUUCUUUUUUUCAUUUUUCUGCCAGUCUGAAGUCAGAUUGACCUUUAUUCCCUCUGGCUUUUACCCUUAAACUUUUGUGUCUCGUUAAAGAAGUUGUUCUAAUUUUAAUGAUUAAGGCUUUUUAUAAAAUUAAACAUGUUUACAGGAAAGGGAUCUUGAAUUCCAAAUGAGAAUGUCUCAGACAUACCUAAGGAGAAAGAGGUCAAAUUUUUAAAUCAGAUUAGAAUCAUCCUAUCUAUCACAGUGUUCUCUUUAUCUUUCUGCCCUGUUGUCCAGUUUCUAAGCAGAAUGAGCUCUGCCUAUUAAAAUUCCUCCAAAGAGCAUGGCAACAGGAACUUGAUUAAAAAUAUUGGUUAAGAUUCCAACUACACAAGGGGUACUAAUUAGUAAAAUAUUCUUUAUUUUAGUGUUGCACUAUUCAUACUUAUUAAUCCUCUUCAAUAUUUUAUAUUUUUAUUUUUCUCUGUUCUAUUGUUCUCACGAGGCUCUUAUUUAUUUGCUAAAUCAUGUCCUUUUUAUAUUUUAGAACACCGGGAAAUUCUGAGAUAUAAAAGACAAACACUCAGCUCAUAUGUCACUUUCUCUGGUUGGCUCUCUUCCCUUCUCUGAUCACAGACUGGGAACAACAGUUGUUUGGCUCCUUGAUAAGUACUUUCACUCAUGACAAGGAGGUGGUUAUUAGCAGAAUUUUCCUCGUUGAAGUGCCUGGGCUUAACUUGUAGAUUGCCCAAUCUCAGGUUGUACUGUGUGACAGUGAGCAAAGAAUCCAUUUAUCUCCAUCUGUCUUCAUUACUAAUUUAUGUGUCAUAAUAAUAAAGAGUAUCUCACAGUGAUGCUGUGAAAAUGAGCUAAGAUAUUCUAAUUAAAGCACUUAGUGUAGUGUGUGGCACCUAUGAAAUACUUGAAACUGGAUUUUGUUAAUUAGUUUGAAGUUUGGGUAAAUGGUGUUGAUCCAGAUUUGGAGGGUCUCAAGUGCAGUGUGUGCUCUACAAAUAUAUGAUAAAACUAAUGCAUCUCAGGAGGUAGAGCAAGCCUAGAAAAGGAGGCCUUGGACAACCACCUGGUGCCCAAAGAUAUUCUUAUAUAUAUAAAUAUCUUAUAUAUAUAAA
Callithrix jacchus (white-tufted-ear marmoset) is the source of this 1397-nucleotide long non-coding RNA. RefSeq lists it as uncharacterized. NCBI's taxonomy places the organism in Eukaryota, Metazoa, Chordata, Mammalia, Primates, Cebidae. The record is from RefSeq and is a predicted model, not a curated record.